UUUGCAAGUUUUUACCCUGAACCUAUGGUACUUAGGCCCUGUUUGUUUACCUCUUAAUUGCAAAAUUAAGAGGUUAGGUCUUAAAAAUUCAGAUUCAGAUUGUUUGUUUGCCUCUUAUUUUUUACCUCUUAAAGUUCUAAAUGCCUCUUAAAUAUUCAGAUAUUAAACCAAGUCUGAAUUUUAUAAAAACACACGUUUUCCUUUUCUACCCUAAUCAAUCGACGAACACCUUCACUAAACCAACGCCCCCACUUCCUCUUCAAUCCGUGUGCGAGGUUCAUACCUUCACCAGGUUCUCCGACGACGCCGCCUGCAACGAUGCCGCUGCACCGCAACGUCGUUGCCGCCUCCUCGAACGAUGUUGCCGCCUCCGUUUCCGAUGUUCCAGUGUGUAGGAAGUAAAUUUGGUUUCAAGACAUAUGGGAUAGGUGGUGGUGUUUUUUCCAAUGUCACUAGUUGCAACAUGGAUUGAAAGAAGUAUCUUUAUUUGGAUAUUGUAUGAUGUUUAUGUUUUCAUGGAUUAAAAGAAGUGAAUGGAAGAAUUUAUGUUUAACUUGGUUUUAUUGUAUGACUUAUAUGUUUUAUUGGAUUGAAAAAAGUGAAUACGAAAGAAUUUAUGCUUAA
This is a non-coding RNA of Lactuca sativa (garden lettuce), 624 nucleotides long. NCBI's taxonomy places the organism in Eukaryota, Viridiplantae, Streptophyta, Magnoliopsida, Asterales, Asteraceae. The record is from RefSeq and is a predicted model, not a curated record.